RNAcentral lists this ribosomal RNA (112 nucleotides) under Sceloporus undulatus undulatus (Eastern fence lizard). RNAcentral's name for it is "partial 16S ribosomal RNA". Lineage: Eukaryota; Metazoa; Chordata; Lepidosauria; Squamata; Phrynosomatidae. The record is from RNAcentral.
AGUACGAAAGGACCAAGAAAACAGGACCCCUGUCAGCAACACGUCCUAAACAUCAAGGCUGAACACAACUAAAGCCAAGCAACAACUCACAAACCCGGAGAUAACGGGCUUA